GAUGAACGCUGACAGAAUGCUUAACACACGCAAGUCAACUUGGACUUCGGUUUGGGUGGCGGACGGGUGAGUAACGCGUAAAGAACUUGCCUCACAGAUAGGGACAACAUUUGGAAACGAAUGCUAAUACCUGAUAUUAUGAUUUUAGGGCAUCCUAGAAUUAUGAAAGCUAUAUGCGCUGUGAGAGAGCUUUGCGUCCCAUUAGCUAGUUGGAGAGGUAACGGCUCACCAAGGCGAUGAUGGGUAGCCGGCCUGAGAGGGUGAUCGGCCACAAGGGGACUGAGACACGGCCCUUACUCCUACGGGAGGCAGCAGUGGGGAAUAUUGGACAAUGGACCAAGAGUCUGAUCCAGCAAUUCUGUGUGCACGAUGAAGUUUUUCGGAAUGUAAAGUGCUUUCAGUUGGGAAGAAAAAAAUGACGGUACCAACAGAAGAAGUGACGGCUAAAUACGUGCCAGCAGCCGCGGUAAUACGUAUGUCACAAGCGUUAUCCGGAUUUAUUGGGCGUAAAGCGCGUCUAGGUGGUUAUAUAAGUCUGAUGUGAAAAUGCAGGGCUCAACUCUGUAUUGCGUUGGAAACUGUGUAACUAGAGUACUGGAGAGGUAAGCGGAACUACAAGUGUAGAGGUGAAAUUCGUAGAUAUUUGUAGGAAUGCCGAUGGGGAAGCCAGCUUACUGGACAGAUACUGACGCUGAAGCGCGAAAGCGUGGGUAGCAAACAGG
Molecule: ribosomal RNA, 722 nt
Filed under: uncultured Fusobacterium sp.
Lineage: Bacteria; Fusobacteriati; Fusobacteriota; Fusobacteriia; Fusobacteriales; Fusobacteriaceae
Description: bacterial SSU rRNA
Rfam family: Bacterial small subunit ribosomal RNA
Source: RNAcentral